AAAGUUCUGUUAACCUUGGUGGAAGGAGCCGGGAGGCCUCUGGAUGGGAAUAGCUCCCAUUUCUGAGAGGACUCAUCACACCUAAUUUGAGUAAUUUCCUUUUCAAUUUCCUGGGCCAUUUUAUUUUACCUCUGGCUGCCCCUUGGAUGAGUGUACCAGCUGUCAACUUGAUACAGGCUGGAGUCAUCUAAGGAAAGCCUUGAUGUAAAGAUUGUCUAGAUCAGAUUGGCCUGUGGACUUUUCUGAGGACGUUAUCUUGAUUAUGAACUAAUGCAGACAGUUCUUUGUGCGCAGCAGCAGUCCCUGGGAAGAUGGUCCUGAGUUGUAUAAGAAAGUUAGCAGUUUCCUUUGCUGUGAUAAAACACCAUCCCAAAAGCAACUAGGAGAGAAGGGUGUGUGUCAUCUUACAGCUUGUAAACCAUCAUCCAGGAAAGGCAGGGAAGGAACUCAAGGCAGGUACCUAGAGAAAGCACUUGAAGCAAUUAGAAGAUUGAAUCAUUACCACUGCUGGGUUGAUAAUCAUUUCUCAGGCUGUCUUUUGGCAAAGAGCAAGCUACAUUUUACAUUGCUUGAGUCACAAUGGUCAGUCUUCUCAAACGGAAGACUUCAAGGAAAAAGAAACUUGGAGUAAGAUGAAAGAAGAAAGAGGAAAGACAAGAAAUCAAGAACUCCAAAGGUCACAAGGCAGGAACAUAAGAAAAGAAAUAAAAUUUUUCUCUUUGUAUUAAAAUUUUUAAUAUUAUAAUGUAAUAAUUAUACUAUAAAUAUCAGGGAACAUCUCUAUUGUCAGCCUCGUCUUUUUGGUGGGCAUGUGAGUUGUCAAAAGAUCAGCUUCCAUACUGGGCAAUGCAUUAUGGCUUACAUAAAGUUUUAUUUAUGUAGAAAAUACUCUGUUAAGUAUUGCAGUAUGGAAGGCUUAUUACUGAUGGGUCAAGAAUAAAACUGAUCCCCAAUAUGGAAAUCAGUAUAGCAAUUCUUUAGAAAAUUAAAAUAACUACAAUAUGAUCCAAAUAAGUGUUUAACUGAAAGAUGCCCAGUGAAUGAAUCACACAGAUAACUGCAUAAUAUUUCCACUGAACCACU
Long non-coding RNA from Mus musculus (house mouse), 1083 nucleotides. RefSeq annotates it as predicted gene, 32461. The record is from RefSeq and is marked validated. NCBI's taxonomy places the organism in Eukaryota, Metazoa, Chordata, Mammalia, Rodentia, Muridae. The transcript is spliced from 6 exons.